Molecule: ribosomal RNA, 852 nt
Filed under: Paraburkholderia sediminicola
Lineage: Bacteria; Pseudomonadati; Pseudomonadota; Betaproteobacteria; Burkholderiales; Burkholderiaceae
Description: bacterial SSU rRNA
Rfam family: Bacterial small subunit ribosomal RNA
Source: RNAcentral
CUUACCAUGCAGUCGAACGGCAGCACGGGGGCAACCCUGGUGGCGAGUGGCGAACGGGUGAGUAAUACAUCGGAACGUGUCCUGUAGUGGGGGAUAGCCCGGCGAAAGCCGGAUUAAUACCGCAUACGCUCUACGGAGGAAAGGGGGGGAUCUCAGGACCUCCCGCUACAGGGGCGGCCGAUGGCAGAUUAGCUAGUUGGUGGGGUAAAGGCCUACCAAGGCGACGAUCUGUAGCUGGUCUGAGAGGACGACCAGCCACACUGGGACUGAGACACGGCCCAGACUCCUACGGGAGGCAGCAGUGGGGAAUUUUGGACAAUGGGCGAAAGCCUGAUCCAGCAAUGCCGCGUGUGUGAAGAAGGCCUUCGGGUUGUAAAGCACUUUUGUCCGGAAAGAAAACCUCCGCCCUAAUAUGGUGGGGGGAUGACGGUACCGGAAGAAUAAGCACCGGCUAACUACGUGCCAGCAGCCGCGGUAAUACGUAGGGUGCAAGCGUUAAUCGGAAUUACUGGGCGUAAAGCGUGCGCAGGCGGUCCGCUAAGACAGAUGUGAAAUCCCCGGGCUUAACCUGGGAACUGCAUUUGUGACUGGCGGGCUAGAGUAUGGCAGAGGGGGGUAGAAUUCCACGUGUAGCAGUGAAAUGCGUAGAGAUGUGGAGGAAUACCGAUGGCGAAGGCAGCCCCCUGGGCCAAUACUGACGCUCAUGCACGAAAGCGUGGGGAGCAAACAGGAUUAGAUACCCUGGUAGUCCACGCCCUAAACGAUGUCAACUAGUUGUUGGGGAUUCAUUUCCUUAGUAACGUAGCUAACGCGUGAAGUUGACCGCCUGGGGAGUACGGUCGCAAGAUUAAA